This 393-nucleotide ribosomal RNA is filed under the name uncultured bacterium. RNAcentral's name for it is "bacterial SSU rRNA". It matches the Rfam family "Bacterial small subunit ribosomal RNA", at positions 28 to 420 of the family's 1533-position model. The record is from RNAcentral.
GACGAACGCUGGCGGCGUGCUUAACACAUGCAAGUCGAGCGGUAAGGCCCUUUCGGGGGGUACACGAGCGGCGAACGGGUGAGUAACACGUGGGUGACCUGCCCUCAGCUCUGGGAUAAGCCUGGGAAACUGGGUCUAAUACUGGAUAUGACUCCACGGUGCAUGUCGUGGGGUGGAAAGCCUUGUGCGGCUGAGGAUGGGGCCCGCGGCCUAUCAGCUUGUUGGUGGGGGUGAGGCCUACCAAGGCGACGACGGGUAGCCGGCCUGAGAGGGCGACCGGCCACACUGGGACUGAGACACGGCCCAGACUCCUACGGGAGGCAGCAGUGGGGAAUCUUGCGCAAUGGGCGAAAGCCUGACGCAGCGACGCCGCGUGAGGGAUGACGGCCUCGG